This 328-nucleotide ribosomal RNA is filed under the name uncultured eukaryote. Its description in RNAcentral is "partial 18S ribosomal RNA". It matches the Rfam family "Eukaryotic small subunit ribosomal RNA", at positions 1470 to 1796 of the family's 1831-position model. The record is from RNAcentral.
CCCUUAGAUGUCCUGGGCCGCGCGCGCGUUACACUGAUGCAUUCAACGAGCCUAUAACCUUGGCCGAGAGGCCUGGGCAAUCUUGUUAACGUGCAUCGUGAUAGGGAUAGAUUAUUGAAAUUAUUAAUCUUGAACGAGGAAUUCCUAGUAAACGCAGAUCAUCAAUCUGCAUUGAUUACGUCCCUGCCCUUUGUACACACCGCCCGUCGCACCUACCGAUUGGAUGGUCCGGUGAAGCCUCGGGAUUGUGGUUCUUGCCGCUUUAUUGUGGCGUGACCGCGAGAACUUGUCUAAACCUUAUCAUCUAGAGGAAGGUGAAGUCGUAACA